GGGGAACAGAAAAGCAGGGUGUUGGAGACGAAAGGGUAGUAAGGGGUUGGCUGAUCACAGUGUCUUACGAAGCUGUCAAAAGAAAAAAAAAUUUAAAGCCACUCCUAUUUUAUCAGGAAAAAAAGUUUCCCCCUUUUUUUUAUCCUUUGACAUACAAAGUUUUUAAGAUUUUUCUUUAAAAGUGGUAUUGUAAUUCAUCACAAGAACUGUUUGGUGAAAUUAACAUUAACUCCCACUCAUAGAUGGCUGAAACCAGUCUUGCAAUCCCAGAAUUUGGCAGAUUGAGGAAGGGGAAGUGUUCAAGGCCAGACUCAGCUAUAUAGCAAGCAUGGGCUAUUGAGAUGCCGUCUCACAUAAACAAAACAAGGGCUGGGUACCUAGCUUAGGGGUAGAGAGCUUAAGCUUGUCUAGCAAGCUCUGUCUUGGGUCCGAUUCCUAGGCAGUCCCCCUACCCCCCAAAAAACAAACAAACAAACAAACAAACAAACAAACAAAACAAACAAAGCAGGCAUGGCGACACAUUUGUAAUCUCAGUACUCAGGCGAUGGGGCCAGGCGAAUCCGAAAUUCAAGAUCAUCUAUACAGUGAGUUCUAGUUAUAGGUCAUCCUAGGCUACAUGAGGGUUAGGGGGAAGGAGGAGGGGGAAAGAAAGACUGGGAAACUGAGGCUGAGACGGUGGCUUUCGGUGUUCAAGGCUCUUCGUGCUCCUGACAGGGGGCGCUCUUCCCCAACUUCCCGGCCUCGUCAGCCCGCGCGGGUCAGGGUCCCCCUAAGAAAACCUUCUUGGAGCGAUUUUCCUUUCACGCGAACUCAGCGCCUCCUUCCAGCCGCGAGGUCUCAAAGGUGAGCCUCGCACAAAUGCGUUGCAGAUGUUUCUCCUUCCAGAUCGGCUACCGCGGCGCGGCGCGGCGCGGCUCCAGCAGCCGCGCGAUCCUGCAGCGAUCCGGUCCGCAUUUUCCUUCCCACUCUCCAACUUUUGCAAGCUGUAGUUAUUUGAUAAUGAUUUUUUUUUUUAAACCUCUCCCAAUAAUUGUUAUCCUCCCCGCCCGGUGCAGCUCAGGUGAUGGGUGCAGACGGUAGACGCCUCCUCCUCUUCCCGGGCGCGCAGCCCGAGGCCCUGGAGUAAGGAGCCGCAGCUCAGCCAGCAGAGAAAGCCAAGAUGGGGAAACUGAGGCUCUCGAGUGCUGUGUGGAUCUACCCAAGGUCCUCCCAGAGUACCUGCAGAAUUGGGGAUCCAACCUAGCUGCCACCACUCUGGGAAAGCAGGGCAAAUGAGAUGAGACAGCACACGGUAAAAGACGGCUUGAAAAGACGGCUCGUACUUCUCAAAGCAACGAAGACACAUCUACGGUUUUGCUUUGAAGUGCAUCGGAAAGAAAAGAGAAGAAGAAGGGGGAAAAACGCUUGCCGUAACGUUUAGCACCAAGUAAAGGAAUUCGAGAUAAAUGGGCCACCUGUGCGUCUCCUGACUGGCUUCCAAAGUUUCAAUAGUGGCUAGAAAUGGCUCAGCCUCAGUGGAUAAAACCCAAUGAUGCAGGGGCUGGGCAAGCUUUGCACAAUCUCCCCAGAGCCUUGCCCGGCACUCCCCCACUCCUAGUAUAUGUGUUUUGGGAAAUCGCCAACCUAUCACAGAUGAAUGGAUAAUGGGGAACAAAGAAACAAAUGCAACAAAGCAGGUUGCAAUCCCCCCUUUCCAGAUAUGUAGCACAUACUGGCCUUGAACUUGCUGUGUAGAACAGGAGGACCUUGAACUUGUGGUCCUCCUGCUUUCCCAUCCCUCCCACCUCUCAAGGGCUGGGACACCAUGCAGUAUUUACUCUGUGUGUGUA
Molecule: long non-coding RNA, 1829 nt
Organism: Rattus norvegicus (Norway rat)
Lineage: Eukaryota; Metazoa; Chordata; Mammalia; Rodentia; Muridae
Source: RefSeq, a predicted model, not a curated record